GCCCGCCUAGCUCAAUCGGAUAGAGCGUCAGACUCUUAAGUUUGUUGGUUGGGCAUCUGAAGGCUGCGAGUUCGACCCUCGCGGUGGGCU
This is a non-coding RNA of Termitomyces sp. T32_za158, 90 nucleotides long. The record is from the annotation of a GenBank genome assembly. NCBI's taxonomy places the organism in Eukaryota, Fungi, Basidiomycota, Agaricomycetes, Agaricales, Lyophyllaceae.